GAAGUAAUUGGGAACCAAGCAGUAAGGAUGUACUGGACAUUAUGCUGCGUUUUAUCUAUUGUUGCUGUGCAGAGCACAGCAUUUUCUACUCCUAACCCUCCUGGACAGAACACAACAUCACCUGACGCUAACGUUACCGUGGCUAACGUCAUCGCUACGACGGCAACAGACGGAGAGACAAUGCCGCCAGGUAAGACAAGUCUGCUCAUGCUCAUCUCUCAUCCGUCAGCGCACCACCGUUAUCUUGCAGAUGUUUUUGGAAAAAUACUGUAAGUUUGAUUUUUACACACUUUUGAUAGAUAAAAUCGAGUAACGUGUUCUUGACCUGUCCUUGGUGCUGAAAAGUUAUCAUCUGAGUACUGCAUGUAAUAACCUCAAAAUAAAUUGUAUUAGUUUCUGGAAUCAAGAGCUACAUUCACUGUUGAAUUUUUGUAUUGAAAGAGUACAACUAUGGGGCUUGUCCCUGGUGCUGAAAAAUCAUCAUAUGGGUACCAACUUACAGUUUCUGGAUUUUUUUCUACAUUGUAAUGUGAGCUCUUACGUAUGUGCUUUUGGGGAAAAUGACAAGAUUGACUGAGCAUGUGUCCAAACACUUACUCGUAGUUAAUGACCAUUCUUUGAAUUUUGCAUGUUUUCAGCAUAAAUCAUAUAUUUGCAUGAUAUGUAUUUGAAUACGUUGACUUUUUAUCUGUUCCAGAUGUACUUACAAGUAUCCUGAGUUCAGGGGCCAUUGCUGGAAUAGCGGUCGGUAGCGUGGCAGGAGUGGCGCUGAUGAUUGUAGGAGUCAUCGUGUGUGUCUUCAUGUGUGUGACGGCGUGUACCAAGAACAGGCAAGUGUCACCGAGGACGUCUGCAGUGAACUUGGGCGAUGUGUAACAGCAUCAGCCUUCGUCACAAAAAUCGUUGAUUGCAAACCCUUCUGACAAGUAGUUGCAAAAACGAUGGUAACAUAACUCAAAACCUGUUGUUUUAUCAAUUGUAGUGGCCUAAAUGUACAUUUUUAAUGUUCCAUAGGGAAGUCGUAAUCGUUUUUCGUUGAUACCAGAUUAGUACGUUCAAACAUCAUCAGGGCUUAUAUGUGGGAAUAUGACGGCUAGGGAGCUAAGGACACAUACCAAUUAGACUUCGACUCCAACUCUUUCGGAUGCACCCUGAACCCUAUGCGUUUGACAUACACUACUCGUAUAAUGGAAUCUUGGUAUGUCAUCGAUGGUAAAAACAACAGCACAUUUUGAACAGUUCAGUUAUCUUAUACGUAUAUCAUUGAAUUUGUGGGAAGAUGUCAAUGAGGCUCCCAAGAAAAGUUAUGAUUACCGCAUUUUAUUGCUGUGCCUGUUUGUAGAUAGAUGCAGGUGGACAGUAGGACAAUGAGAACAUGAAUUUGGAAGUUAAAGCAUGUACCAUGCAGCUGUAAAAGUGUGGCCGAGACAAAGUA
Branchiostoma floridae (Florida lancelet) is the source of this 1435-nucleotide long non-coding RNA. RefSeq lists it as uncharacterized. The transcript is spliced from 3 exons. NCBI's taxonomy places the organism in Eukaryota, Metazoa, Chordata, Leptocardii, Amphioxiformes, Branchiostomatidae. The record is from RefSeq and is a predicted model, not a curated record.